AUAUAAAAUGUCAUUUUAUUCACUUUUAAAAUCUAGUUAUCCCUCUCCGAUCCUCACUUGUAGGUGCAGGGAUCGCAGGUGCAGUUGGCUCCGCACUUGCACCCAUCGUUCUCGGCC
Molecule: long non-coding RNA, 117 nt
Organism: Telopea speciosissima
Lineage: Eukaryota; Viridiplantae; Streptophyta; Magnoliopsida; Proteales; Proteaceae
Exons: 3
Source: RefSeq, a predicted model, not a curated record